This 647-nucleotide long non-coding RNA is filed under the name Gossypium barbadense (sea-island cotton). RNAcentral's name for it is "long non-coding RNA (GBAR_LNC023088)". The record is from RNAcentral. Lineage: Eukaryota; Viridiplantae; Streptophyta; Magnoliopsida; Malvales; Malvaceae.
GCCCGAAAGUUUAAUAUUUUUAGAACUAUAGGGUUACCUUUCCCCCUUGUGCCGCUGCUACCUUCGUGCCAGCUUUCACGCGCGCCGUUGCUUCAUCUCCACGUCGACAUGCCCACGAAUGGCUUCUCCACGCCAUACACACCUACAGCAGACUAACAAACAAAAGAGCAAUGGACAGCAAAUAACAGAAAUUACAGCAAGGAAAUUUGAUUUUCUUAUUUAUUAUUCUUAUUUUUCAGCUAUAAAACGAAAUGAAAUUGAAUGUAAAGGGGGAUUUUUGGGAGAGACGAUACAAAAUCUAUACCAAAAGUUUGAAUAGGAAAAGAGUUUUCCAAAGGUGAUUUUAAAUCUCAUUUUUUGUCUUUCGUUUUUGCUUCUAUUUUUCUUUGAUCUUCGUCAUUGUAUGUAAAAAACAAAUAAAUGAAAGCGUUAAUACUUAUCUUUCUUAGGAGGCUUCGAAUCCUUGUUUACGUCGUGGUAAUCGAAGCUAGAUGAGGAUUGAGGUUAAGCAUAACAAAACCCUCAGAUUUGCGGUCGAAUAAGGCCAGGAUAAACCUUCAUACGUUGCCGUCCGUUGAGUAUGGAGGUGAAGUGGUAGAGCUUUUUGGUUCGGCUGAAUGAGUGGAAGGGAGGCUUUAGGUUUUAUU